This is a non-coding RNA of Heteronotia binoei (common prickly gecko), 664 nucleotides long. NCBI's taxonomy places the organism in Eukaryota, Metazoa, Chordata, Lepidosauria, Squamata, Gekkonidae. The record is from the annotation of a RefSeq genome assembly.
GAGACAUGCUGCCUCUUGGAGCUCUUCCAAAUAAUAACUGACAGCUUCCAAAUAAUAAUUUUAAAAACCUUUCGCGAAAAAUCAUGAAGUGGUUCGUCUGCUCUUUGAUUAUUUUAAAUCUUGGCCCGUUCUGCGUCCUGUCAGAAGUGCAGCUCAUCCAGCCGGGAUCCAAAGUGGUGAAGCCUGGAGAGACCCUCAACCUGACGUGCACAGUCUCCUUUUCUGUUGACAGUGUUGGCAUUGAUGAUUAUGCUUUGACCUGGAUCCGGCAGCCUCCUGGGAAAGGCCUGGAAUGGAUGGGGGUGAUAGCUCCAGGACUUGACAUUAUAGCUUACGCUCCUGCAUUCCAGCACCGUAUAAGCAUCUCAACCAGUUCUUCCACCAGUGAGAUCCACCUUCAGCUCAACUCAAUGACAGUUGCAGACACCGCCACGUAUUACUGUGCUGGAGACACAGUGAGGAGAGUAAGGCAGAGACUCCUACAAAAAAAGGAAAGGGGAAGUGGUAUACUACCAGUGUCUUUUAUAAGCUAUAUAUACAUAAUCCUGGGCAUAACUGAACUUCCCUCUUUUCUGGUCCCUUGUUAUUGUCAUGGAUUCACUCUACCAUUCCUUGCACACCUCCUGAAUUCUAGGUGAAUUUCUAAAAUUAAUUCCAGAACUGA